AUUGAACGCUGGCGGCAUGCCUUACACAUGCAAGUCGAACGGCAGCAUAGGAGCCUGCUCCUGAUGGCGAGUGGCGAACGGGUGAGUAAUAUAUCGGAACGUGCCCUAGAGUGGGGGAUAAAUAGUCGAAAGACUAGCUAAUACCGCAUACGAACUCAGGACGAAAGUGGGGGAUCGCCAGACCUCAUGCACACGGAGCGGGCGAUAUCUGAUUAGCUAGUUGGUUGGGUAAAAGCCUACCAAGGCAACGAUCAGUAGCUGGUCUGAGAGGACGACCAGCCACACUGGGACUGAGACACGGCCCAGACUCCUACGGGAGGCAGCAGUGGGGAAUUUUGGACAAUGGGGGCAACCCUGAUCCAGCAAUGCCGCGUGAGUGAAGAAGGCCUUCGGGUUGUAAAGCUCUUUUGUCAGGGAAGAAACGGUAGUAGCGAAUAACUACUACUAAUGACGGUACCUGAAGAAUAAGCACCGGCUAACUACGUGCCAGCAGCCGCCGUAA
RNAcentral lists this ribosomal RNA (502 nucleotides) under uncultured bacterium. RNAcentral describes it as "partial 16S ribosomal RNA". It matches the Rfam family "Bacterial small subunit ribosomal RNA", at positions 30 to 523 of the family's 1533-position model. The record is from RNAcentral.